RNAcentral lists this long non-coding RNA (4001 nucleotides) under Bos taurus (domestic cattle). RNAcentral describes it as "lnc23". Lineage: Eukaryota; Metazoa; Chordata; Mammalia; Artiodactyla; Bovidae. The record is from RNAcentral.
GGGAGGAGAGACAGAGCGACCAAUGAGAAGUUGUAGCUGUGCCUUUGAGAUCAAAAUGUCUCAUCUCUUCCACUGAACCAGAGAACUCAGAGUUGAGUACAGGUUCAUUUUAACUGGUUAAAUCCUUCACAUCUAGAUCUGAAAUGCCAUGCAUGGCACAUGCUUUUCAGGAAUGAGAAUUUGCAUAAGUGAGAGAGACUGAGGUUUUUGGUCCUGAGAACUAGAAAGAGCCAGUUUUAAGGGACCUGUCCUUCAUAAACCAGCUGAGAGCCAGAAGUGAUUAAUUCAUGUAAGGAUACAAAAAAAAAAAAAAUAAUAAUAAAUUUCCAAAGAAAUGAUGCCAGAAAACCAAGACCAUGCUAACCAUCGCUGGGGUGAGACUGUCUCUAGCAUUUGGAUGUGAAUUAUUUUGUCUUUUGGUCAAGCCCAACCUCAUAUGGUCAAAAGAUUAUUUAAAAGUUCCUUUCAACAUUUCAGACAAAACCAACAAUAAACUUUGAAGAACCAAAUACUUGAUUGUUUUGAGUCUCAUUUUCCUUUUCCACGUCAUCUAACUUAAAAUAUCAGGAAGGAAAUUCAUGGCAAUUCAUGGAACAGAUGUGGAAAUGAAGGGAAAGGUAGGCUGGAAAAACAAAACAAAGCAAACAGCUGUAAUAAAAUCAGAAUCUUUCAGACCAGCAUAAAUGGGAGGAAAAAUUCUAGGAAAGGACUAUAAAAACAUGUUUCUGAGUUUUGUACAGGCCAAUGGACAUUGAUACAGCAAUUGGCUUUAGGUCUUUUUCCCAGAUUAUUUUUUUAGCUUCUUACCUGCCCAAAUCUCCUGAUUUUGGCUGGUGGUGUUAGUAGGAAGGAUGGGGAGGGAUGUUGUGUCACAUGGCCACAAGUGUGCUCUAUGGUGUUGGUGAAAUCACUACCCUUUCUCUUUCAUUCCUGUAAUAGUUGUAUAACUCCAUCUGCCCACCACAGAGUGGGUUAAAGAUUAAUGAGAUAACACAUGUGGAGGGUCUUGAGUUUCAUAGAACAGGCUGAUGGCCGUAUAAAAUGUCACUCAACAUGGUAUUGAAAACAAGAUUUAUUUUCCCCUCCUUCUGCCCUGUAGUCAGUGGAUCACAAGACUUAAAUUUCGCUUGUUCUUGAGAAACUCCAUUUAAAAGCAUUCAGAACUUAAGUAACAGUCAAGGUAGCAUGAAAAGCAUAAGCAGAAAUUACAGUUCUUUCCUAUUUCUUUCAGCAAUCAGGGCAGUACUUGAAUAUAAGUGUCUCAGAAACAACAUGAGAAGGAAGGAUGGUGGUUUCCCAUGAAUGGCCUCAGAAAGACUCUUGCAUUUGGGCAAAAUCAAGGAUGAGCUAAAACAAGGAGAGGUCUGAAUGAUAGACAAUGGAAGCUUCAAGAUUACUGCUGGCAGAGGGGUGUAGGUAGGAAGGACCUGGCUUGGGCAUCUGUGCAUUCUGGCUCUGUGACUCUGAGCAAGCUACUUAACCUCUCUGAACCUGUUUCCUCAUCUGUAAAGUGAUUGUAAUGCUACUGAUCCAACAGAAGGCUUCAGUGAAAUAGAUGGAUGUACAGUGCCAUGAACCCAGUAUUAGAAGUCUAAUAAAUGGUCACUAUCACUCUUGUUACUACUAUUCAAUAUAUUCUUUAUUAAUUAAUAUUAAUAUGGCAGCAGAGACUACCCACUCCAUGGAAGUCCUUAUGUCUGACCCAUUUUAAAGUUUCAUCCACAUGACAGUUGUACAAGGGGUGGUUCUAAGAUAUUUGGGAAAGCUUAAAUAUUUUUAAAAAAUACAUCUUUCACAAUUUUGGUUUCCCUUAUUUAAAAAAAUCACAUUUGUAAUCAUUUCGUAUGUCUGAAAAAGAUUUGUUAAGGAAGGGAAUUCAUCAGUAUCAUAUCUGACAAGGAUCAACAGAGGUUCUGAAUAUCCAGAGCUCUAGUCUCAUUUUCAGGACUUUUAGGAAAAGACAUGAACGGUGAGACACUCAGACUGUCCCCUUAUCCAUCUUAAAGCCUUGCCCUCUGACGACAGAGCUGACCCUACCUAGUCAGCCCUGUGCUGGAUGAAGAGAAAGCAAGACUGCGGGAAAAUCGCCCCCAUUUCACUCUCUGAAUUUCAAGUAGAAGCAUCUUAGUUUUCUCUCUCCCUUCUCUGCCCCAUAGAAAGGCCUGAUAAAAGUUUCUUACAAUAGAACCCAAAAGUUGAUGCUUUUAUGGGGAUUAGGAUCCUUCUGGUGUCUGCAGGAGGAACAGUCCACACAGAUGCAUCUACCCUGGGAGUCUGAGCUCUUGUGACCUGUACUGGAGUCACUGCCGGUGUGCUCGGUGGCUGCCAUGAAACAGAAGCUAUUCUGGAGUUCACCGAGGCUCAGGCCAAAUUAUUUGGGGCUUACCAUCAUCUGGCUGAGGGGGUAGGAAAUAAAACAGUGGUCCCUCCUUUUAAGGCAAGCCUAGGUUAAUGUGUGGAGACAGAACCUUAUUUUUCCAAAGGCUCAGCCAGACAUCUUGCUAUUUUUAGAGGACUGGCCAGUCCUGAAUGUUGAUUCCAUCAUGGGCAUGAGCCUGAUUUUAACUUCCCAGGGCCAGCCAAGAGCAAGGGCAGCUCCCAAACCCAUCUUCUCUCCCUGCAGGCACCCUGCCACUUCUCUCAAUGGUAUUUCACCAUCACUGCCAUGCUUACCCUGUUUCUCAUCAGAGCUGGAGGGCUGAACUGAUACUUAGGAGGAGGCUGGGGCAAGGGGAUGAGCAGAGAGAGCUGGCAUGAUACUAAGUCACUUACUUCUUUAUGCUUCCAGCCAUUCUGUGAAGUACCUUUCAUUACACAGGAUGAAACUCACUCCAGCAGGUUAGAUAACCUGGAGGCAAGGAGUGGUUAGGAAACACCCACAUCACACAGCUGAUAAAUAACUAACCUAGGAUUUGAAGGACCUCUUUGAUCCAAAGCACACAUUCAUUUCAUGUGCUGUAUAUCCCAACCUCAUCUGAGCCUAGAGCCAUAGAGGCACCUAUUAAAACCCCUAUUCCCAACAACCCAGAGCCACAGAAUCAGAAUCUCCGUGGGACUGGCCCGACAUUCACAUUUUAAACAAGAUUCUUCUAGGGGAUUUCUAGGCUCUGCAAAUUGGGGAAGAACAGCUCUGGGAGAGCUGCUUUCAAACAUAGAGAGAACAUUAGAAUCAUAAGGGAGCUUGUUAAAAAUGCAGGUUCUUCUGUCUUGCCCGCCAAAGCUCCUGAGAAGCCAGGGAGCCUGGACUCAGGAAUCUGCAUUCUCAAUUAUUCUGCUGAAAGUGGGCAGAAGCCUUUGAAAAACAGGGACCUAAUAAUAAAUAAGAAAGAGAGAAGUAGAUACUAAAGUAAUGAAAUCAUUUAAUACUGGAAAGGACUCAUUUGACAGCAGUCCAGGGAAAAUUAUUUAGUUUGGAUUUAAGGAAGAAUUUCUUGCAGACAUGACGACAAAUGGGUGAUCUCUUUCUACUAUGUGAACAGUGAACAUAUUAGUAGCAGAAAGGGGAGCAGGCACUGUGGUCUGUACCUGGCCACUGACAUCUUAUCUUUUCCAUGUUCCUGAAUCUCAGCUUCUACCUGGAAUGUUCUUUUCCCUUUGCUUAUCUUCACUAGUUAAAAUUUCUCUCAAAUCUUAGUUCAAAAGAUACUUGCUCCACGAAGUUUUCUCCCAGUUUCCCCUCUUCUUCUUCUUUGUUUCUAUUGUUUGCACCUGUCAUUGGGCAUGCAUCACAUCUCACCCUGCUGUUGGAUUCCCUGGGUACCUGUAAUGCACACGUUUCCUCACAAAAAGGGCUAGGACCUGACAGCUUUGUUUUUGAUUCCCCACACUGCUGCUCAGUGAAGGCCUUUUGCUCAAUAAGGGUGGAGGAGAUAAAGCCAUCACCGCUGUUACUCUUACUAUGUAAGUUUCUCAGCACUGUAACAGGCAACUUUUAUUAAAUAUUCCUAUUUUGCUGAUGAAGGACACAAGGCACUGAUUGAGAGAUUGCUGUUUGUGGAGGG